This 263-nucleotide long non-coding RNA is filed under the name Elaeis guineensis (African oil palm). Its description in RNAcentral is "long non-coding RNA (EGUI_LNC071267)". Lineage: Eukaryota; Viridiplantae; Streptophyta; Magnoliopsida; Arecales; Arecaceae. The record is from RNAcentral.
AGGGAGUGGAGCAGAGUCGUGGCCAUUACUGUGGCCUGCCGCGUGGAGUCUGUUCCGGGGAGUGAUGGAGCCGCACAGAAUCCAUCGCAGGAGGUGGAGCAGAGUCAUGGCUGUUACUGUGGCCUGCCGUGUGGAGCCUGUUGCGGGGAGUGAUGGAGCCGCACAGAAUCCAUUACAGGAGGUGUAGCAGAGUCAUGGCCGUUACUGUGACCUAUGAGGGAGUCUAGGCCUGUCUGUCGAAGCUCGGUUGAAGUGCCUGACGG